This 444-nucleotide long non-coding RNA is filed under the name Nicotiana benthamiana. Its description in RNAcentral is "long non-coding RNA (NBEN_LNC037776)". Lineage: Eukaryota; Viridiplantae; Streptophyta; Magnoliopsida; Solanales; Solanaceae. The record is from RNAcentral.
AUGAUUCCCCAGCAGAAGCAGAGAAAGUAGACUGGUGAUACUUGUUUGAUUCUAAACAUCUGGUCUAGGGGUUAUUCUAAAAAAUUGUAAAUAUCUUUGCAUUGCAUAUUUAGGCUUCAAGGAAAUAAUCGAAUGCUAGAGGGGCUAUCAAGACUUCGCAAUUACCUUCUACUACAAAUCAAAAUUUUCUAUUAUUAAUGCAUUGUAUAAUGACUGGACCUUGAAUUACUAAACAUCUGGUCUAGGGGUUAUUCUAAAAAAUUGUAAAUAUCUUUGCAUUGCAUAUUUAGGCUUCAAGGAAAUAAUCGAAUGCUAGAGGGGCUAUAGAGAGUUCGCAAUUAACUUCUUCUACAAAUCAAAAUUUUCUAUUAUUAAUGCAUUGUAUAAUGACUGGACCUUGAAUUAGAUUGGAGAGCCCCAUAGGAAAUCUAAAUAGUUGUGGAA